CCUACGGGUGGCAGCAGUGGGGAAUAUUGGACAAUGGGGGCAACCCUGAUCCAGCCAUGCCGCGUGUGUGAAGAAGGCCCUCGGGUUGUAAAGCACUUUCAGUGAGGAAGAACGCCUGGUGGUUAAUACCCAUCAGGAAAGACAUCACUCACAGAAGAAGCACCGGCUAACUCCGUGCCAGCAGCCGCGGUAAUACGGAGGGUGCGAGCGUUAAUCGGAAUUACUGGGCGUAAAGCGCGCGUAGGUGGCUUGAUAAGCCGGUUGUGAAAGUCCCGGGCUCAACCUGGGAACGGCAUCCGGAACUGUCAAGCUAGAGUGCAGGAGAGGAAGGUAGAAUUCCCGGUGUAGCGGUGAAAUGCGUAGAGAUCGGGAGGAAUACCAGUGGCGAAGGCGGCCUUCUGGACUGACACUGACACUGAGGUGCGAAAGCGUGGGUAGCAAACAGGAUUAGAUACCCGUGUAGUC
Molecule: ribosomal RNA, 465 nt
Filed under: Vreelandella stevensii
Lineage: Bacteria; Pseudomonadati; Pseudomonadota; Gammaproteobacteria; Oceanospirillales; Halomonadaceae
Description: partial 16S ribosomal RNA
Rfam family: Bacterial small subunit ribosomal RNA
Source: RNAcentral